This 253-nucleotide ribosomal RNA is filed under the name uncultured bacterium. Its description in RNAcentral is "partial 16S ribosomal RNA". It matches the Rfam family "Bacterial small subunit ribosomal RNA", at positions 524 to 776 of the family's 1533-position model. The record is from RNAcentral.
UACAGAGGUCUCAAGCGUUGUUCGGAUUCAUUGGGCGUAAAGGGUGCGUAGGCGGCGUGGUAAGUCGGGUGUGAAAUCUCGGAGCUUAACUCCGAAACUGCGUUCGAUACUGCCGUGCUUGAGGACGGGAGAGGAGACUGGAAUUUACGGUGUAGCGGUGAAAUGCGUAGAUAUCGUAAGGAAGACCAGUGGCGAAGGCGGGUCUCUGGGCAGUACCUGACGCUGAGGCACGAAGGCCUGGGGAGCAAACGGG